Molecule: ribosomal RNA, 309 nt
Filed under: Triticum aestivum (bread wheat)
Lineage: Eukaryota; Viridiplantae; Streptophyta; Magnoliopsida; Poales; Poaceae
Description: partial small subunit ribosomal RNA
Source: RNAcentral
AUGAACCGGUAUGGUAUGCCAUUCAUACCCUUUGUUGGUCUUAGCAAUCACCGGAAGACCACUGUUUUUGCUUGUGCCAUAGUUUCUGACGAGACCGAAGAGACAUAUGUGUGGCUGCUGGAGACUUUUUUGAGGUCCAUGUGUCAAAAGAUGCCGAAGAGUGUUAUCACGGACGCCGACGCUGCGAUGAUCAAGGCAAUUCUCCAAGUCUUGCCAGACGUGUGGCACCGUAUAUGUACGUGGCAUAUAGAAAAAAAUAUGAAGAUUCACCUCAGUCACAAGUCCUUGAAGGAGUUCCGAACUCUUCUG